AACAAACGCUGGCGGCGUGCCUAACACAUGCAAGUCGUACGAGAAAGUCGGCUUCGGCCGAUGAGUACAGUGGCGCACGGGUGAGUAGCGCGUGGGUAAUCUGCCCCCCGGUCAGGAAUAACCCGCCGAAAGGCGGGCUAAUACCCGAUAACACUGACGCUCCGCGGAGCGUCUUUCAAAGAAGGCCUCUGUUUACAAGCUUUCGCCGAUGGAUGGGUUCGCGUCCUAUCAGCUGGUUGGUGGGGUAACGGCCUACCAAGGCGAAGACGGGUAGCCGGUCUGAGAGGAUGGCCGGCCACACUGGAACUGAGACACGGUCCAGACUCCUACGGGAGGCAGCAGUGGGGAAUAUUGGGCAAUGGGGGUAACCCUGACCCAGCGACGCCGCGUGAGGGACGAAGGUUUUCGGAUCGUAAACCUCUGUUGUACGGGAAGAAGGAAUUGACGGUACCGUACGAGAAAGCCCCGGCAAACUACGUG
Molecule: ribosomal RNA, 480 nt
Filed under: uncultured bacterium
Lineage: Bacteria
Description: bacterial SSU rRNA
Rfam family: Bacterial small subunit ribosomal RNA
Source: RNAcentral